Molecule: transfer RNA, 81 nt
Filed under: Caulobacter rhizosphaerae
Lineage: Bacteria; Pseudomonadati; Pseudomonadota; Alphaproteobacteria; Caulobacterales; Caulobacteraceae
Description: tRNA-Ala
Source: RNAcentral
CGCCGGCUUGGCCUUGGCGGCGUCGCCGCUGGCGACGGUGAACGACUUGUCGCUCCAGUAGAUCUUCACGAUCGCCGGCGC